GAAGAUGAACUCUCUGAAGCUUUGCAUGUUUCUGCUUACACAACAGACAUGAAAGACAGGAUGGCCUGUCUACAUGGAUGCAAUCAUCUAAACACAUCAAUACGUUACAGCAAUAAGAACCCUGCUAGAAGGCAAUUACACUGUCACAGUUUUGAUCUGUGCAGAGUUAAAGGACAGGUAUGCAAUACUACUGGUGUCUUUGAAUCCACUAGUUAUUUCACAGAGAUCUUCAGGGACACUAAAGGACUGCUUUCCUCAAAAUGUUUGCAAGCUGAACAGGAGCAGAAACAUUAAAAUUCACCAACAUCUAAACGGUAGGAGCCAAAUAACUUAGAGAGGACAACAUGAAUAUUAAGAAACUUUAGGAC
Molecule: long non-coding RNA, 368 nt
Organism: Passer domesticus (house sparrow)
Lineage: Eukaryota; Metazoa; Chordata; Aves; Passeriformes; Passeridae
Exons: 3
Source: RefSeq, a predicted model, not a curated record